RNAcentral lists this long non-coding RNA (1366 nucleotides) under Ananas comosus (pineapple). RNAcentral's name for it is "long non-coding RNA (ACOM_LNC025367)". Lineage: Eukaryota; Viridiplantae; Streptophyta; Magnoliopsida; Poales; Bromeliaceae. The record is from RNAcentral.
UUCGGUUUGACGUACAAUGAAUGUAGUAUAAAAUAAUUGUGGGGAUAUAAUAUAUUUUUGAUUUGUAGAAAAAUAAAAGAAAGAAUAAUAGAAGAAAAUGAGAAAAAGUAAGGUGUUUUUAGUUUUAAGUAAACAAAAAUGUGUGUUCUUCUUAAAAUUAUUUUUUCGAAAAGUUUUUUAAGCAGUAUUAGAUAUCUGAGUAAGGGCAAGUUUAGUAUUAAGGUCCAUCUAAUUUCAAUUGAUAAAAUAAAAUUAGAGCAAAAUAUAUAUAAGGAUAUACUUUUAUGUUUGCCGAUGAAAUCGUAAAAAAUACAUCAUAACCUAUUAAUUGCGACACAUGAUACGGGAUAAUACGUACGGAAACAUAUAAAUAUUAUUUCAUCAUAUUUUUUUUACGGCAUGUAAUAUAAUCUUUCCGGAAUCUCAAAUGAAGUAUAAAGAUUUCUUCAGAUAAAUAGCAUAGUAUGACCCAUCGGCUCAGAGAAAGUCUAUUAUGUCACACUUUUAUUACUUUAUCAGUAGUAAGUCAAUUAUAUUUCUCUUCUUAAGAGAAAAAUAUAAUAAAAAUAAUCUUUUAUUACUCGUGAUCAAAUGAAUCCAAGAGGACAAUCGUAUUGGUUGGGAUGCCACGUCAAUAACAUAACUAUGCAUUCUAAAUAUUAUCGUUCCUAGGAUGUCAACUGAUUAGAUUCAGGGUGAAUUUUCAAAAUACCCAAAUCCGAAUCCGAACCGGACUGUAAAGCUGAAAUUCGAAUUCAAACCCGAAUUCAAUGGAUUUAAAAAUUCAUAUCUAAAUCCGAAAUCCAACAAAAAAUUGGAAACCUGAAUCUGAGACCAAAAAUCCAAAAAUCCAAAUAAAAAAUAAUUAUUCCUGUUUUUUAUAUUUCAAAAUAUAUUACAUUAAGUUUAAAUUUUAAAUAUAAAAUCAAGUAUAACAUCAAAUAUUUAUACAUUAUAUAGGCUUCGUUUGGGAUUGCGGAAAAAUUACGUUACGUGCGGUGAAAAACGACGACGAAAAAAUGCCUUAUUUAUUUCCGUACGUAAGCAUAUUGCGGUUAAUCGGUUACGAUAUAUUUUCUGCGGUUCCAUCAGAGUACGAAGAAGCAUAUCUUUAUAUUCUUUUUUCAACUCCAUUUUAUCUAAUAAUGUUAGAUCUACCUCAAUACCAAACUAAGCCAUAGUGUAAAUUCAAUUCAGGUUCAAGUCGGGUUUGGGUUUGGGUUCAGAUCCGAUACAAACAAAAUCCAUUUGCAAAUCCAAAUCCGCCGGAUCUUCGUUUUUAAUAUCCGUAUUCGAAGCUAAAUAUCCAUUUAAUAUCAAAUAAAUCCGUUCCGUUUGGAUUCAGAUAAGAGUUUGGAUAUCUAAA